AAACCAAAAUAUGUCCACGAUAGUUUUAUCCACAUCUCAGCCUCGUGGAUUAUCUGAAUCAACGACCAGCAAAAAGAACCCCUCUGCUCUUUCAUCUUCUCCAUAGAUUUACAUAGUGAAUUUAGAGCUAAUACUAAAUCUGAUUAAUCGAUCAAUUAACACGUCUUAAUCCAAAAAUUGUUGAGCUUUUGUUGUAUAAAUUGUGAUUUAUUAGGUAUUAUACCUAUUUAUAUUUUAACUUAUAUACAUAUGGUUAGUGUUUGAUUUGAGAUUUGUAAUUCAAAUCACGAAAAAAGAAAAAGGAUGGGAUUCAUAAUGAAAUUUGCGGAGAACUUGAUAUUGAAAUUAAUGGAGGAUCCGAAGGAGAGGAAUAGGAAGUUUAGGGAGCAUGUUUAUGCAACGGAAAGGACCAAGAAAACAUUGGAGAUGUGGAGCUAUCCAAUUCGUCCCUAUGAUUUCUGGACAUUUGAUAGGCAUAAUGCUUAGUUAUUUUGGGACCCUCAAAUCAGCCAAGUUCCCGGCCGUCGAGAUCCCGAUGAAGACCUCCUUAAUGAUAGUUCCUCCUCCUAAGCUUUGUGUAGGCUGAAGAGGUUGCUGAAGAAGAUGGAAGUUUUUCUACACCAAUGGCUGAUGUAAUAUCUAGUUUCUGAACAUGAAUAUCAUAGCUGGCUAGGAGAUCGAAUAAUUUGUAUGAAUAUUGGUACUUCAUCUACGCUGAUGAAACGAAACCUGCUGUUGAGUUUAUGGUUUUGAACUCCCAAAUUUGAAGAACCGGAUGUCUCUCUAUGCUGUAUGUCUAAGACAGCGACGUAGAAAGCCAAUGAUGUAAAGAGGACAGGUUGCGUGAUGUAGAAAUUGCUCAAAAUACCUGUCAUUAUAUCAUUUAUCGGAAAUUAUUAUA
Long non-coding RNA from Capsicum annuum, 901 nucleotides. RefSeq lists it as uncharacterized. The record is from RefSeq and is a predicted model, not a curated record. Lineage: Eukaryota; Viridiplantae; Streptophyta; Magnoliopsida; Solanales; Solanaceae. The transcript is spliced from 2 exons.